RNAcentral lists this signal recognition particle RNA (303 nucleotides) under Oncorhynchus kisutch (coho salmon). RNAcentral describes it as "Metazoan signal recognition particle RNA (ENSOKIG00005022657.1)". It matches the Rfam family "Metazoan signal recognition particle RNA". Rfam says of the family: The signal recognition particle (SRP) is a universally conserved ribonucleoprotein. It is involved in the co-translational targeting of proteins to membranes. The eukaryotic SRP consists of a 300-nucleotide 7S RNA and six proteins: SRPs 72, 68, 54, 19, 14, and 9. Lineage: Eukaryota; Metazoa; Chordata; Actinopteri; Salmoniformes; Salmonidae. The record is from Rfam by way of RNAcentral.
GCCGGGUGCGGUGGCAUGUGCCUGUAAUCAAGUUCACUGGGAGGCUGAUGUUGGUGGAUCAAGUGAGCUGAGGAGCUCUGGGGCUGCAUCACACUAUGUGGAACGGGUGAUCCACGCUAAGUUCGGUAUCGAUAUGGUGUUUCCUGGGGGAGGCCCUGGACCACAGGUUGUCUAAGGAGGGAGUGAAACGGCCCAGGGUCGGAAACGAAGCAGGUCAAAUCCCCCGUGCUGUCCAGUAGUGGGAUAAUACCUGUGAGUAGAUGCUGCAGUGCAGCCUGGCGAAACAUCGAGACCUAAUCUUUC